This 562-nucleotide long non-coding RNA is filed under the name Cricetulus griseus (Chinese hamster). RNAcentral's name for it is "lncRNA (ENSCGRG00015031027.1)". The record is from RNAcentral. Lineage: Eukaryota; Metazoa; Chordata; Mammalia; Rodentia; Cricetidae.
UCUCGAUCUUGCAAACUGGGACUCUGCCCACUCAAUUGGGGCCGCCUCAGGCUUGCUGUGCUGUGUGAUAAAUGAACAAAGGUGGCCGAGCAAGCUGCCCUGCCUUCCUCUGACUGCCUAGCUGCCCUGGCGUCUUCAUGCCAAUCUUGGACUCGAUGGCAUUCUUCUCUUUCCAGCCUGAAGGACAUUCCCAAAAGAGCAAAGGGAGACAGAGGUUGGCACUCUCAUCCUCUCUGGUGUCUGUAUUACAUGCUGAAGAGCUUGGUCUUUGUACUAUUUCAGGACAUUAAUACCUGAAUUAAUACCUCUUGUAAAUACCUGACACUUGCAGUUACCCUUCCCGGAUGAGAGGCAGUGUAAUACACUCACUAAGGUUGGCUCUUUUGUCCUUACUGUGAGAAAGGAGUUCCAGGAAGACACACAGCCCUGUGUAAGGACAGGCUCACCUGGGCCAGGCUGUGAGGGUGCUGUUUCCCUGGCCCUCCACCAACCUCACCGUGGAGCCUUCUCUAUUCCCUUCCCUCCAGUUCUGUCCCUGACUUGUGUGGCAGCUCAGACCAGC